RNAcentral lists this small RNA (547 nucleotides) under Pongo abelii (Sumatran orangutan). RNAcentral describes it as "retained intron". The record is from RNAcentral. Lineage: Eukaryota; Metazoa; Chordata; Mammalia; Primates; Hominidae.
GUUUGCAUUGCCCUAGGUUCACUUUCAGUGAUCUAUUUCAUACUAUUUUGCCUUUUUCAGGCUUUGGUGUUAAGAUGUUGAGUACUGCCAACAUGAAGAGCAGUCAGUACAUUCCGAUGCAUGGCAAACAGAUCCGUGGACUGGCAUUUAGCAGUUACCUCAGAGGCUUGCUACUCUCUGCUUCCCUAGACAACACUAUUAAACUGACCAGCCUGGAGACAAAUACCGUGGUCCAGACUUAUAAUGCUGGACGUCCUGUCUGGAGCUGUUGCUGGUGUCUUGAUGAGGCUAACUACAUCUAUGCUGGACUGGCCAAUGGUUCAAUUCUGGUAUAUGACGUGCGAAACACGAGCAGUCAUGUGCAGGAGUUAGUAGCUCAGAAAGCCAGAUGCCCGCUGGUCUCCCUGUCAUACAUGCCCAGAGCUGCCUCAGCUGCAUUUCCAUAUGGUGGGGUGCUGGCUGGAACUUUGGAGGAUGCUUCAUUCUGGGAACAGAAAAUGGACUUUUCUCAUUGGCCUCAUGUGCUGCCCUUGGAGCCAGGGGGCUG